This 1057-nucleotide long non-coding RNA is filed under the name Populus tremula. RNAcentral describes it as "long non-coding RNA (PTRE_LNC002842)". Lineage: Eukaryota; Viridiplantae; Streptophyta; Magnoliopsida; Malpighiales; Salicaceae. The record is from RNAcentral.
UUUUGACAACAUCAAAAACAAAAUACAAAAAAAAACCUAAACCUAAACCUAUCUUUUUUUUUCAAGAGGAGCCGCCCCCCAUUUUUCAAAAAAAAGGAAGAAAACCAUAGCAGCUAAACAAAGACAGCCCCUCCCCACUGGAACGUUUGGAUUUCACCCAGCCGGUUUGAAUUUCUUUUUCCCCUCAGUAGCCGAACAACUCACCCUCUCACUUUCCCUUCCCCCGGCCAAAAAAAACCAGAGAAGCCAGGCAGCCCCUCCCCGUCUCCUUAGUCUUCCUCUCGGCCGAAAUUCCACAAUCAGCAAAACCCCAUUUCCUUCUGCAGCCGCCGGCCCCCACGUUGAUUUUGUUUUCCACACAGCCCUCACCUUCACUCUCCCCUCUCAGCCGUUCCUCUGGACAGCCAUCAACCCGGAACUUUCCCUCUCAGCUGCAGGAGCAAGGGACGAACCGAACGGAGACCAUAACAGCCUCCUCUGCAAUCUUCUUCCUUCACCGGCCAUCGCUGCUCUCUUCUCUUUCCCUCUCUCCCACCAAGACGACCCAGCAGCAGCUCCUCCACCACGCACGGCUGCACCCGCAGCUCCGGCCUCCAGCCUUGAGCCACUCCUCACUCCACAGCAGGUCGGCCACAGAAGAAGAAGGAAGAACAACGGCUGGAAAAUAAAACGGAAGCAGACCCGAACGGUGGAGAAAAUAAAACAGAUCUGGAAAACUAAGAAAAAUUAAAAUCGACUGCUGUGUUGUUCUUUGAUUGAUCUGCAGGUUGGCGCCGGCGAGGAAAGAAGGAGGGAGGAGGUCGUUGCAGACCCCCCUGUUUUCGCCUUGUUUUCACGGGGGCGCGUGGAUCCACGCGCCGCCAGUGGCGGGGGUGCGUGAGAUCCACGCGCCACCACUGCCACUGCUGUCCCAGCGGCUUCGCAACACUGUUCCGACGAGUUAGAGGUUUCCAGCACUGUUCCGGAAUGUUUUGGUUCAUUUUGUAAUUUCCAAAUUGUUUUAAUGUAAUAUUUUAUUUAGUUUUGAGUUUUUUGUAAUUUGUAUUUUGUAAAUAUG